UAGGGAAUAUUGCACAAUGGACGAAAGUCUGAUGCAGCGACGCCGCGUGGGUGAUGAAGGAUUUCGGUUCGUAAAGCCCUUUUGUCAGGGAAUAAAAAAAUGAAUGUACCUGAAGAAUAAGCACCGGCUAACUUCGUG
Molecule: ribosomal RNA, 138 nt
Filed under: uncultured bacterium
Lineage: Bacteria
Description: partial 16S ribosomal RNA
Rfam family: Bacterial small subunit ribosomal RNA
Source: RNAcentral